Molecule: transfer RNA, 78 nt
Filed under: Klebsiella pneumoniae subsp. ozaenae
Lineage: Bacteria; Pseudomonadati; Pseudomonadota; Gammaproteobacteria; Enterobacterales; Enterobacteriaceae
Description: tRNA-Met(cat)
Rfam family: tRNA
About the family: Transfer RNA (tRNA) molecules are approximately 80 nucleotides in length.
Source: RNAcentral
GGCUACGUAGCUCAGCUGGUUAGAGCCACAUCACUCAUAAUGAUGGGGUCACAGGUUCGAAUCCCGUCGUAGCCACCA